UCGGUAUACCCAAGAUUAUAACAUCUUUUUUUUCCCAAAACUGGUUUUCUUUCUGGGCUUUUUUACUUAUCAAUCAGAAAGUUAUGAGCAACUAACAAGAACAAGCCACUUUGCUGCUUACCUAUGCGAGAAGAGGCUUUUAUAAAGAACUCUCCCAGUCUUGCAAGCAAUAAUUAAAAUCCAAUGAAGCGUGUGACCUUCGAUGGCUAUAAUGGUAUCUUCAGGGAACCAGAGGUCCAGAGAACAAAGAACCUACACCAAGGGCAAUCAUUCAGCCUCAAAUGGUUACUAAUCAGGACUCCUACUUCGAUGGCCCGAGUGUCCAGACCAGUACUGGGUUGUCCUGGCUGCCCCCAGGAAAGUGGAGGAAGGCCUGUCGCCUCUCCUGGCUGUGCACUCAAGAGUUGUCUAUGGCAACGGCUGGCAAAUGUGUGCGGACACAAGACUCCAGGGCUGUUUACAAGCUCAGUUUGCUGCACACACUCAGCCGGGCACAAAUACACACACACACCCAGGAUGAUAUAACGAGCGACCAGGACUCACAUGCAUCCAAUGGAAUUUAAUUAUAACUUCUGUAACUAAUUUCCGUUUUCGGGCUAGCGUAUGGGAGAAAUAUAUGCAAAGUGGCCGAAAA
RNAcentral lists this small RNA (634 nucleotides) under Drosophila yakuba. RNAcentral describes it as "GE29028". Lineage: Eukaryota; Metazoa; Arthropoda; Insecta; Diptera; Drosophilidae. The record is from RNAcentral.